AGCGCUUCGGUCCCGAGUCGGCCCUCUCCCAGGGAGGGCUCCGAGUCGACCUGGGACUGACCAGGCCCUCGAUGUCGCCGGAACCCGCCCUGGGUGGCCGCACCGACCUAGGGCCCCGUCGUCCCUAAGUCCCUGGGAGGUGUCCAGGGCCUGCUUGUAUGCAGACCCAGAUGAAUUUAAUUCUGUGUUGCACAGGACUGGGCUUGAGAUUUGGGAGGAGCUGAAGCCUCACUCCGAUCCUCUUCCUCACCCUGAUUGUCAUCUAUCAUUUUGAUCCCACUGGUUUCUCAGUGGCUGAGUUUUGAGUUUCACUCCCUCUCUGUGUGUGCCGGCUGCCUGAGGGUGUCACACCACAAAGCUCCUUCUCAGGGCUUUUGGAACAAGGAACACUCCAUCUUACCCCCACUCCCGGGAGGCCUUUGAGGAGCAAGUUUGAAACACUCUGGAUCCCAAACGCCUGGUAGGAGGGCAGAUUUUUGGAGGGAGACUUUUCAGUUUGAUGGGCCUCCAACCACCGAGUGCCAGCAGUGUCGCCCCCACUUCCAGUGACAACCACAAACUCCGCCAUUUCUGGGUUCUCUGUAAGCUUAGGUCCAUCCUACUGGAGAACAGCAAACUGACCUGAACAGCCCUCUGGCUUGGAGAUGGGACAGGAUGGGUUUCUGCACAAUUCCCAGGAGCAGGAAUGCCAUCAUCUCAAAGAUGUGCAUCCUUUCCUUGAUAACCUUCCCCCUGCAGGUUUUCAUGUCACUUGGAGAGUGGCAAGUGCUGUAGACCCUGGAAGUUGACUGCAAGGAGGGUCUCUCUGCCUGUUUCUGAAGUCCUUGAGUUGCAGGUUUGAACACGAAAGAAAAAGGGAAAGGGUGCUGGAGGCUCCAAGCAUUAAGGGGCUGUAACAGGGAGGUUGAGGACACCACGCUGGCGGUUCCUCCCACACCGCUGGAAUUGCAGGGAAGACCCAAACAAAGGUCAAUGCCAAGUUGGGCUGAGGGACUGCAGCUGCAGGUGAACCUGGCCAGGGCUCAAGACUGAUUGUGAGGCUGGUGUUGUCCUGGGUGUAUGGCUUCUUGGGGCAGGCAGGUGACACACGCUGCUCCUGGCUUAGUGUUUAUUUUCUUCCUUUAAAAAAAAAAUAGCUUUUAUUGAUCCC
Molecule: long non-coding RNA, 1150 nt
Filed under: Marmota monax (woodchuck)
Lineage: Eukaryota; Metazoa; Chordata; Mammalia; Rodentia; Sciuridae
Source: RNAcentral